This is a ribosomal RNA of Rhinopithecus bieti (black snub-nosed monkey), 107 nucleotides long. The record is from Ensembl. NCBI's taxonomy places the organism in Eukaryota, Metazoa, Chordata, Mammalia, Primates, Cercopithecidae.
AUCUAUAGUCAUACCACCCUGAAAGUGCCCAAUCUCGUCUGAUCUUGGAAGUUAAGCAGGGUCAGGCCUCAUUAGUACUUGGAUGGGAGAAAAUAAUUCUACAGUCU